AAUUUAAAAAUCAAAUCUAAAUUAAAUAAUCAAUUAAAAAUCAAAACUGAUCAAUUUGAACCAAAUUCAAUCGAAAUAAAACGGUUCAGUUUGAUUUGAUUUUUUAUUUAUUUUGAUUUGGUUUAAUUCAGUUCGGCUUGAUUCGAACCGAAUACUCAAGAAAAGUGGAGAUCAAGGAUUAAGGGAAGACGAAUAAUUUUUCAUUAAUCAUGGUUAGAAUUUUUUUUUUAAUUUAAGUGAUUUGGUACUUGGAUUCUACUAAUUUAUAAUAAAAUAAUUCGAUUGGCAUAUCACGUCAGCUAAGGCACAAUAUCCUUCAAAAUAUGACUAAUUUUUUUCCAUAAAUUUAAAACGUGACAUAUUGUGCUAAAAAA
Molecule: unclassified non-coding RNA, 374 nt
Filed under: Hevea brasiliensis (rubber tree)
Lineage: Eukaryota; Viridiplantae; Streptophyta; Magnoliopsida; Malpighiales; Euphorbiaceae
Source: RNAcentral